GUUGUUACCAGUAACGAGACUGAAAUUCUCCUCGACGGAUUGAGGGGCUUCGGAUGUGGUUGCGGUGGUGGUUCGAUUCCGAGGAUUGGCGACAGAACCGGCGCCACCGCCGCCAAGAGAGAGACGGCCGGAGGGGCGGUGAGAAGGUGGUAGAGGAAAAGAGGAGUGCGGGCGCUUUCCUCCGGCUCCCCGUCCCGCGCCGCCGCCGGGUCGGCCGAGCUUGGAUGGGCCGCCGUACAUUGUGAUGGAAGAGAGAGAAGAAGACGACGGAAGGUGGUCGAACCAGGUUUUGG
RNAcentral lists this unclassified non-coding RNA (293 nucleotides) under Hevea brasiliensis (rubber tree). Lineage: Eukaryota; Viridiplantae; Streptophyta; Magnoliopsida; Malpighiales; Euphorbiaceae. The record is from RNAcentral.